UCGAACGGACGAUCAGGGCUUGCUCUGAUCGUUAGUGGCGGACGGCUGAGUAACGCGUGGGUGACCUACCCCGAAGUGGGGAAUAACUGCCCGAAAGGGUGGCUAAUACCGCAUGUGGUGGUGCGUUCGAUCGCACCAGUAAAGCCGCAAGGCGCUUCGGGAGGGGCCUGCGUCCGAUUAGCUCGUUGGUGGGGUAACGGCUCACCAAGGCGACGAUCGGUAGGUGGUCUGAGAGGACGAUCACCCAGACUGGGACUGAGACACGGCCCAGACUCCUACGGGAGGCAGCAGUCGGGAAUUUUGCGCAAUGGGCGAAAGCCUGACGCAGCAACGCCGCGUGAGGGAUGAAGGCCUUCGGGUUGUAAACCUCUUUUUUCAGGGAAGAUAAUGACGGUACCUGGAGAAUAAGUCACGGCUAACUACGUGCCAGCAGCCGCGGUAAUACGUAGGUGACAAGCGUUGUCCGGAUUUACUGGGCGUAAAGAGCGCGCAGGCGGUCGUUCAAGUCGAGUGUGAAAGCCCCCGGCUCAACUGGCGGAGGGUCACUCGAUACUGAUCGACUCGAAGGCAGGAGAGGGAAGUGGAAUUCCCGGUGUAGUGGUGAAAUGCGUAGAUAUCGGGAGGAACACCAGUGGCGAAGGCGACUUCCUGGCCUGUUCUUGACGCUGAGGCGCGAAAGCUAGGGGAGCAAACGGGAUUAGAUACCCCGGUAGUCCUAGCCGUAAACGAUGGACGCUAGGUGUUGGUGGUAUCAACCCCGCCAGUGCCGAAGCUAACGCAUUAAGUGUCCCGCCUGGGGAGUACGGCCGCAAGGC
Molecule: ribosomal RNA, 815 nt
Filed under: uncultured bacterium
Lineage: Bacteria
Description: bacterial SSU rRNA
Rfam family: Bacterial small subunit ribosomal RNA
Source: RNAcentral